This is a long non-coding RNA of Biomphalaria glabrata, 3241 nucleotides long. RefSeq lists it as uncharacterized. The record is from RefSeq and is a predicted model, not a curated record. Lineage: Eukaryota; Metazoa; Mollusca; Gastropoda; Planorbidae. The transcript is spliced from 3 exons.
UAGACUUCUAAAAAGUUUAAAUUUAUUAAGACUAUAUUCUAACUCCACUUCUUAAACACCAGAACUUUUAUUGCAGAUUGUAAGAAUGAAUUUAGUCUCAUGAUCUCUACAAUGAUACCUCCCCAAAUCUUCAGAAAAGGCAGCAGCUUGACAAUUAACCACCACUGUGAAAUGCUUAUCACAGAAACUAUUGGAUCUUGAAGGGGAACUUAGCUUGCUUUUCUUUCUAAAUUAAAAUCAGGAACCAUACAGUAUUACUGCCUUGACAUUAGAGUUAAAGAGUCUUAUUUUAGUCUUGUUAGAGAUGUGAGGAGAUUUGCAGGUUCAACUGAGGUUCAGCGCCCCUUAAUGCGACCAUCUAUAGGCCGGGCUUUCACCAUCAGAAAUAAGCUCACCGUUCUCUUCUAAUGCAUGGACUUAGCCAAAUGGCAGCAGAUUUCAAAAUGCCUCGACUUCCUUUACUCCGAACGUGGUGAGUAGGUUCCUACAAGUUAAACCGAGGAACUCUAUUGUUUUUUAGAGGGAGGCCUACGCAAGGACUGAAUUGACCCUAUAGUGGGUGAUAAGCAAGGCUACUGGCUAGCGUCAGCUGUUUUGAUAACCCAUUCAUCUCAACAAGGAUCUGUAGGACGGCGAGCAGGCUUCGAACCCGGAACUACCAAGACGACAGUCCAGAGAGCAGACACCCGAAUAUAGGUUACGCUAAAUAAUAUCAUCUACACUACCCUGAAACGAAAGGUCUUGGGCGGCAGUCCAAACUGACUACCUCCUAAGCCGACCCUGUAUCUGUAUUUUACAAGAAGUUUCUACUACUAUGCUUAGGCUAUGUAAUGAACUUACACUAGCAUUAAAUAAAGAUCUAAUGGAAAAAAAAUGUCUCGAAAUAAAUACAAAAUGUGCUGCAAAGAACUUCACUGCUCUUUGUCGUGGUAAUUGUAUAAAGUCACGUGUAUGUCUGUGAAAAGUGAAUGGACUAGCUCAAUUAAGGUAAUGUAGACGUUCUCACAGGUCGGUGGCUAGCACGAAUGUAAAAUUAAGUAGUAAAAAGUAAGAAAUGAAUAUUGUUUUGGUUGUUCUUUUAGGCUUUAUUUGAAAGAGAACAAAAAUAAAUCUGGAUACAUGCACAAUUAAAGAUUUACCUGACUAAUUAGCUAAUACAUAAAUCCACUUAAAAAAAAUAUACCUAGGUGAAUGCUAACUUAAUUACAGUGUUUGAUAUUAGAAUCAACAUUUUUUUUUACAAUUAAAAAAAACAACACAUGAAGCGAUGCAUUUGAAAUAAGUUGUACCACAAAAAUGUUGACUUAACCACAAAACAGUUUGAGGUGAUGCAAGUGUGUUCCAUUACAUAAGCACAAUCAAAUGACACACUUUAGAGCAUUUAAAACACUUCUGAUCAAUAAUUACAUUAAAAACCAAACAAUUCACAAGCUAAAUAUUCAAUGAAAAACCCCUACUGACAUCUUUGAAUUCUAACAUUGGACAAAGCCCAGUCUAAUUUGGUGUAUGUGAAACACAUGGAAUAGAACCACAAGAAAACUAAGCAACAUUUAUGAAUUUAUACCAAACAUUGUUUUGUUUGUUCUAGACAAAAUCAAUUUUUUUUUGUUCCAGUUACUUUAGAUUCCAGUUACUUGGACUAAAUUGGCACAUAAUGCUUUUGAUCCGAAUAACUGGCUUGUCAGGUUAUAUGAACAUUUUCUGUAUUACAAGUUUACAAGAAUGUUCCCUCCUAAAUAUGCAGUUGGUCCAAUUAGUUAGUGCACUGAAAUUAUCCAUUCUCUUAUAUUUCGUUUUGCAAAAACAUAUUAAUUAUUAAUUAGCUUUAGAAUGAAUCUUCACUGAUUUAAUCAAAAUCUUUUUGUUUUAAAUUGAAAAUUAUCUUUUAAUGUACAAAAAAAAAAUAAAUAAAUAAUUAUCACAUGUCAAACAUUUAAAAAAAAAUACAUAUAUAUGUAGAACUCAAAAGAAUAAUUCAGAUGAAGUUUGAUUCUUUUAAAUCUCCUUUAACUUAAAGAGACCAACAUAUCAGACCUUAAGAGAAAUAAAUAUAUCAAUAACAACCUGUUUCUGGAAUAGAAGUUAGAUUUACAGAAACUUAAUAAUAAUGCAUAACAAAAAAGGGCAUUAAAUGGAAUUCAGGAAAUGAAGAUUUACAUUAAUUUAUACUCAAUACUUGUAUACUCAUUUGUAUUUUAAAUUGUGUAUUGAUCCACAUUGAUCCGUACAUGCAUCCCUUACUGCACAUAAAACAUUGCUUAUUAUUAAUUAUAAAACAAUGAUAAAUUAUAGAGGCUGGAAUAGGUCUACAUGACACAAACUUUAAUAAAAAUAAAUUGAUUUAAAAAAAAAAGUAGAUGUGACCUUUGCCUUGUAACGAAACUGAAUUUCUACACAAAUUUCCUUGUCAAAUUUAAGGAGACAUUUUUAGACAAAAUCUUGUAUUUGUAUGAAAAUAAAUUCCUAUUAGGUUUAAAUAAAUAGAUAUGAAACAUACACAUUUCCUGAUAAUGUAUAUGCAAUAUCUUAUUAACCAAAAGAAGUUCAAGCAAGUAGUGAGUUAUAAUGAACUAAACUAUGUUUUGCACAUUAUCAAAAGCAAUUGAUACAUAUGUUUGAUACUGACCCAAUUCAGCUAAAACAUAGUUCUGAAAUCCAAAGAUUGUUUCAAUAUAAUUUAGUAACCAAUCUUAAAGGUACAUAAAAUUUCACAUAAAACUACAAUGUGACUGAUGCAUUAUUUACAUAUACUUUUCUGAUAAGUAAUGCAUGAUUAAAAAUAAUGUCAAUCAUUUUUUUUUUGCUUCCAUGAACCAGAAGGAUGAACAACUUAACUGCUGACUUGAUGUAAUAAAAAAGAAAGAAAUAGAAGUUGUACAAAAUGUAGAGACAUGUUUAUGUCAAUGUAAAUUAGGGAAAUAAAAUUAGAAAGACACUAAUCAUGUAUAUGUAUGUAUAUGUAAAGUAUGAUUUGUUCAAUAAAACAUGCACCACAAUUUUUAUGUCCAUUUAGUCCAUAACAUUUUUUAAGCAAGAAUUGAAUGAAUGCUGAAUUCAAUAUUUCUUUAAUGAAACUAAGAGAAAAAAAAAGACUGCUUUUGGCAUGGCAUUCUGGGAUACUAAUAAAAUGUAUAAAUAUGUAUGUACCAAACCACACAAACACACCACAAAGACCAUACCCAACACAAACUUUCUGACCUUCACCAAGCCAGCUUUUUGCAAUCUGUGCAAAGGAAACAAA